RNAcentral lists this transfer RNA (74 nucleotides) under Occallatibacter sp. RNAcentral describes it as "tRNA-Gln". It matches the Rfam family "tRNA". From Rfam's summary of the family: Transfer RNA (tRNA) molecules are approximately 80 nucleotides in length. Their secondary structure includes four short double-helical elements and three loops (D, anti-codon, and T loops). RNAcentral also lists the same sequence under 1 other name. The record is from RNAcentral. Lineage: Bacteria; Pseudomonadati; Acidobacteriota; Terriglobia; Terriglobales; Acidobacteriaceae.
UGGGCGAUCGUCUAAUGGUAGGACAAUGCCCUUUGGAGGCAUUUGUCCAGGUUCGAAUCCUGGUCGCCCAGCCA